RNAcentral lists this ribosomal RNA (296 nucleotides) under uncultured fungus. RNAcentral describes it as "partial small subunit ribosomal RNA". It matches the Rfam family "Eukaryotic small subunit ribosomal RNA", at positions 30 to 343 of the family's 1831-position model. The record is from RNAcentral. Lineage: Eukaryota; Fungi.
GCUUGUCUCAAAGAUUAAGCCAUGCAUGUCUUAGUGUAAAUAACUCUUAUGAAACUGCGAAUGGCUCAUUAAAUCAGUUAUCGUUUAUUUGAUGGUCCCUUACUACAUGGAUAACCGUAGUAAUUCUAGAGCUAAUACAUGCACAAAGCGGCCUUCACGGGUCGUGUAUUUAUUAGAUACAAUCAGCCCCUCGGGUUUUGAUGAAUCAUAAUAACUGAACUAAGCGCAUGCUUUAUGCGGCGCUGUUUCAUUCAAGUUUCUGCCCUAUCAGCUUUCGAUGGUAGGGUAUUGGCCUA